AGGAUCAUUUGCAAUGGGCGAAAGCCUGACAAUGCGACGCUGCGUGGAGGAUGAAGGCCUUCGGGUUGUAAACUCCUGUCAUAAGGGAAAAGGAGAGGAUACCCAAUACGUAUCCGAUUUGAUGGUACCUUAAGAGGAAGGGACGGCUAACUCUGUGCCAGCAGCCGCGGUAAUACAGAGGUCCCGAGCGUUGUUCGGAUUUACUGGGCGUAAAGGGUGCGUAGGCGGUGGCGCGUGUCGGAUGUGAAAUCUCCGGGCUCAACCCGGAAAGUGCGUCCGAAACUGCAUCACUAGAGUGUGGGACGGGAGAUCGGAAUACAGGGUGUAGCGGUGAAAUGCGUUGAUAUCCUGUAGAACACCGGUGGCGAAGGCGGAUCUCUGGAACACAACUGACGCUCAGGCACGAAAGUCGGGGGAGCAAACA
RNAcentral lists this ribosomal RNA (424 nucleotides) under uncultured bacterium. RNAcentral describes it as "bacterial SSU rRNA". It matches the Rfam family "Bacterial small subunit ribosomal RNA", at positions 358 to 774 of the family's 1533-position model. The record is from RNAcentral.